RNAcentral lists this long non-coding RNA (559 nucleotides) under Homo sapiens (human). Its description in RNAcentral is "non-protein coding lnc-SCAF8-8:1". The record is from RNAcentral. Lineage: Eukaryota; Metazoa; Chordata; Mammalia; Primates; Hominidae.
AUGGUUUGCUAUUCACCUGACCCAAAAAACCCCAUAAAACCAUGCAAACCAAGAGGUUCAAAUCUUUGUGUUCACUUUAAGAACACCUGUGAAAUUCCCUAGGCUAUCAAAGGUAUGCAUAUAUGAAAAGCCACCAAGUUAUCUGAAAGAUGUCACUUUACGGAAACAACGUGUACCAUUCCAGCCUUCCAAGGGUGGAGUUGGUAGGUAUGCACAGGCCAAACAGUGGGGCUGGACACAGGGCUGGUGGCCCAACAAGAAUGCUGCAUUUUUCCUGCACAUGUUUAAAAGUGCAGAGAGUGAUGCUGAAUUCAAGGGUUUAGAUGUAGAUUCUCUGGUCACUAAGCACAUCCAGGUGAAUGAAACACCCAAGAUGGGCCACUGUACUUUCAGAGCUCAUGGUCAGAUGAAUUUAUAUAUAUGAGCUCCCUCUGCCACAUGGAGAUGAUCCUCGCUGGAAAGGAAGAAAUUGUUCCUAAACCACAAGAGGUGGCUGCAUGGAGAAAAAAAAAAAAAAGUGUCCCAUAAGAAACUGAAGAAACAAAAGCUCAUGGCACGA